AUUGAACGCUGGCGGCAUGCCUUACACAUGCAAGUCGAACGGCAGCACGGGUGCUUGCACCUGGUGGCGAGUGGCGAACGGGUGAGUAAUACAUCGGAACAUGUCCUGUAGUGGGGGAUAGCCCGGCGAAAGCCGGAUUAAUACCGCAUACGAUCUACGGAUGAAAGCGGGGGACCUUCGGGCCUCGCGCUAUAGGGUUGGCCGAUGGCUGCUUAGCUAGUUGGUGGGGUAAAGGCCUACCAAGGCGACGAUCAGUAGCUGGUCUGAGAGGACGACCAGCCACACUGGGACUGAGACACGGCCCAGACGCCUACGGGAGGCAGCAGUGGGGAAUUUUGGACAAUGGGCGAAAGCCUGAUCCAGCAAUGCCGCGUGUGUGAAGAAGGCCUUCGGGUUGUAAAGCACUUUUGUCCGGAAAGAAAUCCUUGGCCCUAAUACGGUCGGGGGAUGACGGUACCGGAAGAAUAAGCACCGGCUAACUACGUG
RNAcentral lists this ribosomal RNA (486 nucleotides) under uncultured bacterium. Its description in RNAcentral is "partial 16S ribosomal RNA". It matches the Rfam family "Bacterial small subunit ribosomal RNA", at positions 30 to 507 of the family's 1533-position model. The record is from RNAcentral.